This 254-nucleotide ribosomal RNA is filed under the name uncultured bacterium. RNAcentral's name for it is "partial 16S ribosomal RNA". It matches the Rfam family "Bacterial small subunit ribosomal RNA", at positions 524 to 776 of the family's 1533-position model. The record is from RNAcentral.
UACGUAGGGAGCGAGCGUUGUCCGGAUUCAUUGGGCGUAAAGAGCUCGUAGGCGGCUUGAUAAGUCGGAUGUGAAACCUCCAGGCUCAACCUGGAGUCGCCAUCCGAUACUGUCAUGGCUAGAGUCCGGUAGGGGCCCACGGAAUUCCUGGUGUAGCGGUGAAAUGCGCAGAUAUCAGGAGGAACACCGGUGGCGAAAGCGGCGCACUGGACCAUAACUGACGCUGAUGCGCGAAAGCUAGGGGAGCAAACAGG